CAAAGGCGCCUAGCAGGUCUUACAAUUUCAUAGGUAAGUAGCAAUUUCCGUACAGGGAUGUACGGAAAAGGUAAUACUGAGCCUGGAUGGCGAAUUAUUACCGGUUGCGUGUAGGUUUUAUAGCGAAAAUAGAAAUUGUUAGAACUGCUUGGCAACG
RNAcentral lists this non-coding RNA (157 nucleotides) under human gut metagenome. The record is from RNAcentral.